GAGAUGGAGUCUCGCUCUGUCACCCAGGCUGGAAUGCAGUGGUGAGAUCUCGGCUCACUGCAACCUCCGCCUCUCGGGUUCAAGCGAUUCUCCUGCCUCAGCCUCCCAAGUAGCUGGGACAACAGGCAUGCACCACCAUGCCUGGCUAAUUUUUGUAUUUUUAGUAGUGACAGGGUUUCACCGCACUGGGCAGGCUGGUCUCGAAUUCCUGACCUCGUGAUCCACCCACCUCUGCCUCCCAAAGUGCUGGGAUUACAGGCAUGAGCCACCGUGCCCAGCCUGCUAUUUGGUUUUCUGUUUCUGCAUUAAUUCACUUAGGAUAAUAGCUUCCAACUGCAUUCAUAUUGCUGCAAAAAAGCAAACAAACAAAAAAAAAACACAAUUUCAUUCUUUUUAUGGCUGCGUAGUAUUCUAUGGUGUAUAUAUACCACAUUUUCUUUAUCCAACCCACUAUUGGUGGGCACCUGAGUUGAUUCCAUGUCUUUGCUAUUGUGAACACUGCUGUGAUAAGCAUAUGAGUGGAGGUGUCCUUAACAUUCUAAUUUUCCCCUUGGGCCUGAGUUUUCUAUCCUAUCAAAUAAAGUAAUCAUACUGAGUUUAUAAGAAUCCUCCAAGAACUGGCAUUUACUUGCUUUUCUCUCUGUGGACAUAUCAAAAAGGGGGUAAUGCAAUGAAGACACAGAAGAUGGGAUGAGCCCACCUCCUUCUGGGUAUUGGGAAGACUUUAUGGAAGCUGUAGCACUGUAGACAGGGGCUAAUGAAGGAUUUUAGCAGAAAACCAAGACAAAGGUGAAUGUUUCUGCAUGAAGAGAGGUGACGUGACAUCUAGAUUCCUAUCCAGAUAUGCAAGUCCAUGAUCCUGGGUUUCUAUGGAUACUUUGGAAGCAAGUAAACCAGAAUCCUUAAACCAAUGCUCCCAGAACUUACUGUGGCUAAGAAGUCAGUGGGUGACAAUUACAUCAUUUCCGUCACUCAACAUCUCCAGCCUCAGUCACACCUGAGUCCCACUCUCAGCAUUGAGAGGCAAAGGGAGGUUGCUUCUUAAGCAUCAAUGAAUUUAACUUGCAGUAUAGGGACCUGGAAUCAGAAAAGCCUCCUGACUGUGGAAUUUAGUUCACUUGACAUUUGGUAAGUGUUUAACAAAUUACUAUGAUAUAAUAAUUACUUGCCUGUAGAAUUUCACUUUCUGGAAACUUAUAAAAAUGAGUGAAGUGUUCACCUGUGUAAAAUGGGGUAGGAGGAGUCGUCCUGUCUGCAGGCUGGGCAGUGGAUCUUUUAUACUCCAGAGCAGGGUUCUUAAAAUGUAAUCCUUGAGCCAGCAGUCUUGUCACCUGGGAAAAUACAAAUUCUCAGCUCCACCCUAGACCUACUGAGUCAGGCUCUCUGAAUUGGCGCCCAGCCAUCUGUUUUAACAAGCCCUCCGAGUGACUCCGAUGCUUGCUCAGGUUUGGGAAUCACUGCUCUAGAGUUCUCUUUACUAUGUACAUUGGUGAAUUAUACUUGAUGCACUCAGAAAAGAAAGGGAGAGAGGGAGGGAAAGAGUGAAAUGGAGAGAUGAGGUGGAGAAGGAGAACUGAAACCACCUUAGCAAAACUGUGACUGAGACAGUGAAAUAGAUCUAACUUAACCAACUCCAUCUUGCUUCUAACCUCCAAGCUGUCCUUGUCCAUAUCUGGGUGUAGGUUGAACUAACUUUGGGAGAAACUUAGCUUAUAGUUUAAAACAAAGAUGAUAACAAUCCUUUCCCAAAGCAGACCUCCAUGCCUGGGGACUAGAAUGCCUUUGUAGGACUAACAUUAGCCACAAAAUUAGAAAUUAUGGUUUAGGAGUCAUGCAGCUAGAAGCUACAAGAUUCUGACCCUCCCUAAACUGCUCCUAAUACCACUGCUUGAGAUAUAUUUUGCAGACCCUUCACUUGAUGGAUCAGCUGGCACCACCCAGAUCACCUGAUUUGUGGCCCCCAGGAACUGACUCAACACAAAAAGACAACUUUGACUCCCUUUGAUUUCACCCCUGACCAGUCAGCACUCCUGGCUCACUGGCUUCCCCCGUCCGCUAAUAGUACUUAAAAACUCUAAUCCCCAGAGUUUUUGGGGAGACUGAUUUGAGUAAUAACAAAAACUCUGGUCUCCUGCACAGCCGACUCUGCGUGAAUUACUCUUUCUCCAUUGCAAUUCCUGUCUUUAUAAAUCAGCCCUGUCUAGGCAGCAGGCAAGGUGAACCCAUUGGAUAGUUACAGAACCUCUUUUCAUAAGGGGUUAUGGGUUAUUUUGUUGAGGGGCAUGAAAUGAUUAAUUAAUCUUUAAAUGUUAUAAGAGAUGGGAAAUAUAGGUAAUUCUGUUGAGGAGCAUUAAAUGAUUACCAAGAUAAAAAUGCAUGGGUAUUUGGGAGAAUGAAUGGAAGUUGGGAACAGAGAUUGACUUAUAAAUGGUUCUCUUGGGAAGCUGAAUGGUUCAUACCAGGGAGACAGGCAUUAUUUUGUAAAAUGCUUAGGCCCGGUCUGGCUACAUUCUUCCUUUCCUUUCCUGAAAUAGAUAAUGAGAUAGUAGAGAAGAGAAGGAUAAAGCAAUUGUUCUUCUUGGUGGGCCCAUCUGAUCUUUAUGAGGAUAAGGGAAAUGUCUUUUCCAAGGCCUGUAGAUUCCAAAGGGUUUUUCAAAAUAUUCAUUAUACCAGGUAGCCAUAUUUGGGGGUGAAAUUCUCUAUGCUCCUUCAAGUCAAUCUUUGUCAAUUAAAUAUUUGAAAAUAAAAAUUUUUAAGAGAUUCUAUCACAACAGGUCUUUGUGGGUCUUGCCUCAGAAGCUGAGCCUGUUUCUUUGCAAACCCCUUGCUGGCUUUGCCCACAGCUGUGGUUCACUCUUGUUUCUACUGUAUUUUGUUUCUUUGCUCCCAAUGCAGUGAACCUGCCUCCCUGUCCAGUGACACCACCUUAAUUGAGGUCACCAUCAUUCUCUCACCUGGGUUAUUUCUAAAACCCUCUAACAGUUUUCCACUCCAACUCGACCUCUCUGUGUUUCUACCAGUGAUCUUUCCACAUGCAAAGGUGAUGGUGUCAUUGCCUGCUUAAAGCCCUGCAGAGCUUCCCACUCUUCCCACGAUUGAGCCCAGACUCCUCACUGGCUGUGCAAAGACCUCCUGGCUCUGCUUGCUCUGGGAACAUGUCUCUCCAAGCCUUGUGCUCCAUCCACUAGACAGGAUCUCACAACAUUGUCCAGGGUGGACUCGAACUCCCAGGCUCAAGUGAUCCUCCUGCCUCAGCCUCUCAAGAAGUUGGAACUACGGGUUCAUGAUGCCAUGCCCUGCUAAUCAACUUAUUUAUCUGGGCAAUGAAAUGUGUAAAACAACUGCAUCUACCUUAUGACUGCAUAUGAAUUUCAGACGCAUAUGACUAUCCAAGUCCACACAAGCCACAAACACAUGCCAACAGCUAGUUAUCCAAGGGUAAAUUUCACAACCAGGAAACUGUUUGCUAACAACAUGGAAACCACAGUUACAGUUGAAAUAAAUGCUAACGUUGAGUCUCAA
Molecule: long non-coding RNA, 3522 nt
Organism: Pongo pygmaeus (Bornean orangutan)
Lineage: Eukaryota; Metazoa; Chordata; Mammalia; Primates; Hominidae
Exons: 2
Source: RefSeq, a predicted model, not a curated record